CAAAGGUAGCAUAAUCAUUAGUUUUUUAAUUAAAAGCUUGUAUGAAGGGUUGGACGAGGUAAAAUCUGUCUCUAUUUAAAUUAAUAUAGAAUUUAAUUUUUAAGUUAAAAAGCUUAAAUUUAUUUAAAAGACGAGAAGACCCUAUAGAUCUUUAUAUAAAUUUUAAUAGUUUUAAUUAAGAAUAUUUUAUUUAUUAUUAUUAUUUAUAUUUUAUUGGGGUAAUAAAAAGAUUAAAUUAAUUCUUUUUUUAUUUAAACAUUUAUUUAUGAUUAAAUGAUCCAAUAUUUUUGAUUAAAAGAUUAAGUUACCUUAGGGAUAACAGCGUAAUUUUUUUAGAGAGUUCAUAUCGAUAAAAAAGUUUGCGACCUCGAUG
RNAcentral lists this ribosomal RNA (373 nucleotides) under Rhantus signatus kuscheli. Its description in RNAcentral is "partial 16S ribosomal RNA". Lineage: Eukaryota; Metazoa; Arthropoda; Insecta; Coleoptera; Dytiscidae. The record is from RNAcentral.